CGCCCAGUGGUGCCGCCUUGGCCGACCUGGCACCGACCCGGCCCUACAUCUGGUACCUCACCCUGAUGAAGUGACCUGGGCGAGGAUGGACCAAGGCCUUUCAACGCUGUCUCCAAAUGACGUAACUACAAAGACAACAGCCCCGCUAGUUCCAACAAGUACCGCUGGUUCUUCCUCCGCCGGGUCGUGCCUGACCAUCUGCGACCCGCAAGAUUCCAGCGGGUGGGGCAUCAACUACGCCUAUGUCGGAUGCCCCUUCUUCGACAAGUGCAGUGCCACGGGAGUCGACCGCAUGCUCUG
This is a long non-coding RNA of Penaeus chinensis, 300 nucleotides long. RefSeq lists it as uncharacterized. The transcript has 3 exons. The record is from RefSeq and is a predicted model, not a curated record. NCBI's taxonomy places the organism in Eukaryota, Metazoa, Arthropoda, Malacostraca, Decapoda, Penaeidae.